AAAAGCUCGUAGUUGGAUCUCAGCUCCGGCCGGACGGUCCGCCUACCGGUGGUUACUGUUCGUCGCCGAGCGUUCAGGCGGUUAUUCUUGAUGAUCUUCACCGGUUGUCUCGGGUGACCGCCAAGUUUACUUUGAAAAAAUUAGAGUGCUCAAAGCAGGCGCGACGCCUGAAUAAUUGUGCAUGGAAUAAUGGAAUAGGACCUCGGUUCUAUUUUGUUGGUUUUCGGAACACGAGGUAAUGAUUAAGAGGGACAGACGGGGGCAUUCGUAUUGCGACGCUAGAGGUGAAAUUCUUGGACCGUCGCAAGACGAACUACUGCGAAAGCAUUUGCCAAGAAUGUUUCCAUUAAUCAAGAACGAAAGUUAGAGGUUCGAAGGCGAUCAGAUACCGCCCUAGUUCUAACCAUAAACGAUGUCAGCCAGCAAUCCGCCUGUGUUCCUCAAAUGACACGGCGGGCGGCUUCCGGGAAACCAAAGCUUUUGGGUUCCGGGGGAAGUAUGGUUGCAAAGCUGAAACUUAAAGGAAUUGACGGAAGGGCACCACCAGAAAUGGAGCCUGCGGCUUAAUUUGACUCAACACGGGGAAACUUACCCGGCCCGGACACAGGAAGGAUUGACAGAUUAAGAGCUCUUUCUUGAUUCUGUGGGUGGUGGUGCAUGGCCGUUCUUAGUUGGUGGGGUGACUUGUCUGGUUAAUUCCGAUAACGAACGAGACUCUAGCCUACUAAAUAGACGUUCCGAUCCUCUUUCGUCGGACGUUCUUCUUAGAGGGACAAGCGGCGUUUAGCCGCACGAGACAGAGCAAUAACAGGUCUGGGAUGCCCUUAGAUGUCCGGGGCCGCACGCGCGCUACAUUGAAGGAAUCAGCGUGUGCUUUCCCUGUCCGACAGGACUGGGUAACCCGUUGAACCUCCUUCGUGCUGGGGAUUGGAGAUUGUAAUUGUCCUCCAUGAACGAGGAAUUCCCAGUAAGCACGAGUCAUCAGCUCGUGUUGAUUACGUCCCUGCCCUUUGUCCACACCGCCCGUCGCUACUACCGAUUGAAUGAUUUAGUGAGGUCUUCGGACUGGCGCUCGGAUUGGCCUUCGCGGUCGAGCCGGUGUGCCGGAAAGAUGACCAAACUUGAUCAUUUAGAGGAAGUAAAAGUCGUAACAAGGUUUUC
RNAcentral lists this ribosomal RNA (1161 nucleotides) under Acanthepeira stellata. Its description in RNAcentral is "SSU rRNA". It matches the Rfam family "Eukaryotic small subunit ribosomal RNA", at positions 622 to 1804 of the family's 1831-position model. The record is from RNAcentral. Lineage: Eukaryota; Metazoa; Arthropoda; Arachnida; Araneae; Araneidae.